ACAAUAUAUAGAAAUUUUAAAUAAACAGAGAGUGAGAACAGACGAAUCUCUUUCUCUAUUUCAUCUCUUUAAAAUUAAGAAGCGAUCAUAUCUAAUUGAUAAUUAAUAACUAACAAAGAUAAAUGAAUCUGAAACAUUUAGAGCGGAAUAUUGUUACAUUUUGCGAAUCAAAGAGACAAAAGAGCGAGAUAAAUUACUUUAAUUCGCUUCGAGUUGAAAUAAAGGAACAGCAAGCAUUCUCUUAUCGGGGAGCGCGGUUUACCAUUUCGGUAAACUGUUGGAAAUCCGCGUUGAAUGCUUCGUUGUCCAAGUGCGCUCGGGAGGAAGGACAUAUCCUGUGAACCGAUGUCGUAUUUAUUCCUUCUUACGCAGAUAAAUCGGGGCAUGGCAACGUUUUCUCUCUUCUCGCGUGUAUACAUUAACUCUUCUAAAAUCUUGCGACUGCAUGUGCAAUGUAUAUAUUAACUUUUGGCUAAACUUUUGUGUGUAUUUAAACACUUGAGACUUUUAUAUUAUACAUUAUACGACUAUUAUAUCAUGUAUUUUUUUUUAUAUCAAAUGCGCUUUAUUAACAAAUCUUGCAGCUUUAUGUUUGAAAUAUUCAAGAAUUGUUUUUUCAUUAAAUUUAACAUAGGCUGAUUGAUGAUAUAUUCUAUUUUUACUUAUCGUUUCGUUUUCAUUUUACUCGAUGAACUUUAUGUAACAUCUGCCAAGCUCCGGUUUUAUCUCGCAAUCCCGUUAUAUUUUCUCCGCUCUUAUAUUUUAUUAUAUUUUUCUUCUGUCAAAAACUGGCCACAUGUCGCGAACGUGAUGUAGCUUUUUUAUGUCAUCGUCGCAUUUAUGUAAUCCGUCUUAAUCUGAGCAAACAUCCCGCAAAAGAAGCAAACAGCAAUUUAUUCGACCACGGAAUAAUAAGGAAGUCGCAGCCAUGCAGCCGUUCUUCCAUCUUCGAGGAGCUGCAUCUGUAAUCUCACCCUCGGAUGCUGCUGCUGGCAACACCCUUCCGCAUCUAUAACGCCCCUUACGUAUGUAAAUCAUCGGGAGAGGCGCCAGGACACUUUUGGUCUCGCUUCGAAUCCUGCGUAAAUAAGAUGCAUGUGUCCGCGACAGGAUGUCACGCAUAUUCGAUACAUUCUUAUUGAAAUGAUCGGUUUUAUGAACCGAGAAAAAUGUUAUUUAAUUUGACAAGAAGAGGAAAAUGAUAUGAUUUGUAUUCCACGCGAAUGCAGCUUUCGAGAUGACGUAAUUCGAUUUAUUGGCGCCACACAUCGGGCGAACUUCAGUUCGGUCACGAAUCGAAAUUCAAAAAGUCGAGCUUUUAUGCAUCCGUUCGAUACCGGAAAUGAAGGAAAUAAUGACCCUCCCGCGAGGGUGAUUUAGAGUGUCGUCAAUCGAGCCGAAUGGUUCGUGGAAUCGUUUUACGCCCUCGUUCUCCGAUGGGUGGGACGAGAAACGACGAUGCCUCGAGACAGCGAGAAAAAAGAAGAGAUGAGAAAAGAGCUCCGAAAUAAUUAACUGUAGGGACGACCUCAUUACGCGGCUUAAUGAGCUGCCAGCGGCGAGUUUGUGUCGCGAUGCUGCUGGAUACUUGUUCGAGUCUUCGGGGGAAAAAAGAAGAGGAAAACGUACGUGACGCCCUGGCAAAAGUAUUGCUUGUAUCGCGACAGUGAUUUAUCGAGACCAGAAUCGGCGCGAUCCGAUUUGUCAGUUUAACAAGACGCGCCUUGUCGACGCGUCCAGAAUGAGACAAUUAGUCGAGUCUCUUCGGAUGAUGGUUUACUCGAGUACUUCAGCCAUCAGCUUCCCUGCCGAUGGAUUUUCGCGCAUUUCUAUUUCUAUCCUCGGCGACGCCUCUCUUCGUCCACGUGGUUGCCCUAUCACCGGGAUUCGCACCGGAACCCCGGCACGGUGGUUCCUCGCACAGUAUUUACCCACGUUCGUCGUAGGAGAGUGCCAUAUAAUCCAGCGCGGAACGGUUUACUGCCGGCAUAAAACCUCGUCGUGGCAUACGAAUAAGCGCGCCAUCGCGGAAGAAGGAGGGGAAAGAGUUGGCCCUAUUCAGAUAUAAAUAUAUAUAUAUAUAUAUAUGUAUAUGCAAGUGGAGCACAACACACACACACACACACACACACACACGAGUUGCAAGGGCGCACACUUCCACUGGUACUAACGAUGGGCGAUUCAUCAUUCUCGCGGAGACCGAAAGGAGUAACAGAGAUUGUGGUAAUUUAAUAGGAAAAGACAGAGAACAGCUGUUUGUCUCAUCCCGACCGUUGCACUUUUUGGCGCGAUUCUAUUCUCUCAUCAAACUCCUCCUUUUCACCUCCAGUCACAAUGCAGAGCUGGAAGUCGAGUUUUAAUCUUCAUUCAUCGACCUGCACGAGAUUGAGUUUCAAUCUUCAUGCAUCGACCUGCUUCAGAUCGAAUUUUAAUCUUUAUUCAUCGACCUACUCAUAAAGAUGAUAAAACGAUACAUAAAUUCCCGAAGUGCAACAAAUGCGAAGAGUCUCGUAUUUCGACAAGAGAUAUAAAAGAGCAGAGAAGAGCCAACGAAGAAAUUGAAGAGGAGAAGUCGCAGAGAGAUAUUGUACGCGAUAAUUCUACGUGAGUUUCAAAAUAAAAGGGAAGCAGUGGCAUCGGAGUAACAGACACGAGAAAUGCCUUGAGACAGCGAAUCGAAUAAAAGAAACGUACGGCUCCUACAAUUCGGAAGCUGAGCGAGGAUGAAAAAUCAGUGAGAUGAGAGUUACGACGUGGCCAAAAAUAAGGGAGCCCGCACAGCAACGUAAAAAGUACAUUCCCGAGUAAGAAAGGGGGCAACAGGAGAGAGAGGAACAAAAAUACCGUACGGUGAUUCAACAUCUCCCGUAUUCUAAGAUCGUCGUAUAAAAUGGCGACUCGGCCAUUGCAGGAACAAGAGAGGGAAUUCUCGAAUAGCAACAGGUGCAACAUCUCUAACAGGUGUUUUAUCAUGGCGACUCUUGAAAGGAAGAUCAUCCAUGUUAUGAUACCUCAUCCUCUAUUGCAGCUCCCAUUUUCCCGUAGAAAACCUAUCAACUUCUGUCGGCCGCACAAAAA
Molecule: non-coding RNA, 3078 nt
Organism: Nylanderia fulva
Lineage: Eukaryota; Metazoa; Arthropoda; Insecta; Hymenoptera; Formicidae
Source: RefSeq, a predicted model, not a curated record